UAUAUAUAUAAAUAUAAAUAUAAUAUAUGUGUGAUUAAUUCACAAUAUGCCAAACUGCAAAAUUAUACAAAAUAAGAAUGAACGUUCACUGCAUUGAACUGUUUGUUUGAGGCAAAUUAUUAUUUAAAAAACAAUCAUUCAUUUGGAUAACAUCCUUUUUAUAUACAUGAUAUUUCAUCGUAAAUAUUAAAUUAUUGUCCGGCCUCAAAGGUGCACCAAGGACAACAACACGGUUCAUGGUCCUGUAACUGUCAACCGAAUUAGUCCGAAAUCAUUUGAAGAUGUCACCACUUUGUCUCAUCUGAUUGGUCCUGAUGGGAGGAGUGUUGGCCAAUAACAUUCGUCCAUUUAUGCUUCUUCAACGAGUUCCGGAGGCCGCGCUGUGACGCAGCAGCGCCCCCUGCUGCACAGCACCGGCAGGUCCACCACAGGAGCUGGAAUAAGAGAGGGAAUAUGAAUAUUUUAUUUUUUGGUUUAUCAAGGUGAUAAUUUAUUUUUUUAUUGUACCUUUAUCCGUGUGUGUGGAUAAAUGUUUUGUCUUAUUGAAGGCCCCCCUUCGCCCCCUCACCCAAAUGUGUAAAAUGUAAAGAAAUUCUGAGACACUGUGUGAGAUGUUAGGAUAAAUACACAGUAUUAUUUGAGCUAACUCAAACCUGUUUUAAUUAACUGCUGACCGGUAUUCAGUUAAAUGCCGACUCGGGAGACAAAAACAGAUUGUCUUUCAGGAAGAAAACUGUUGCAGUAAAUCCAGACUUCAGUGAGCUCAGCGAGCCCCACUUCUGCCUGCCGUGGAGUUGUUCUGAAUGUGUGUGUGUGUGUGUGUGUGUGUGUGUGUGUGUGUGUGUGUGUGUGUGUGUGUGUGAGAGAGCAAGCAGGUAGCCACCAUCUUUAAUCUGGUUUGUUUAACUUCACAUUUUUAAGGAGUUGGUAAAAACUGCAUGCACAUUAAUGUCCUCCUGUUUUUGGUCAGCUUCCACCACAGCGUCAAACAUUCUUGUUACAGUCAUCACAUGGUCUAAAGCAGCGACUGUCUACGUGUCCCCUCAGAUUGUGAUACAUCAUCAUGGAUAUUAGCCUCAAUGAUUGAUCAGUUAUUUUAGCAGCAUUUUCUGCAUCUGACAUCACUCCGACUGUUUGUUAGAACAGUGAAAGUAAAUGAGAUUAAAUCUUUCCAGAAGCUCUGGGGCUCUUGUUGUCAUUUCUUAUGUCAACAGACGCGUCCAGCUCUGCCACGACAGGUGAAUCCCGCUGAAGAAGCAGCAGCCUGAAGGUCAUGAGACACUGUCAGUUCUCAUCAAUCGCUUUGAUUAUCAUAUAAAACAUCAGCAGCAUCUGCCCUCAUGGACACAUAUUUAAAGGAAUACAUCCAGACCGUAAAAAAAAAAAAUGUUUAGCCACUUGGAGAGCAGAAGAAGCCAGCUCACACAACAUUGACAUAUAACCACAUUUUAAAUCAAUAUGUUCUUGAUGUGAAAGAUUGUUGGCUUUAGGGGGAUUAAUUGGCAGAAAGGGCAUACGGUGUUCAUUACUAAGUAAACAACAUAAUCCAUUGGCUGUUUAUAGGAAGUAUAAUAUGAGGUGAUAAGUAUCUUAUAAGGCAUAAGGGGCGUGUUUUCGUGAUGUCAUAAUGAGCCGCUAAUAUCAACCUUUAUAUCUAUGAUAUCAACCACAUGAGCGGUUCUUCUUCAGGAGGUCGCCCACGUCGCUACGGUGGCCCGCAGCGGACAAACCAAACUCCUAAUUGAGAACCGUUAGUUCUCUAAAAAGAGCUUUGUGAUCACUUUUACGCUUCAAUCAGCUACCGAGCAACGAGGUCAUUAAUUUGCAGUCCAGUUUAUGUCCACCUGAUGAAUAGGUCGUACUCCCGGUACAUGACGUAAUCCUUCAGUCGCCCUGGCAACGGCACGAAGCUCAUGAAGACAGGGGAUCGUAGACGGAGGCGACCGAGACAACGACGGAUCCGCAGACGACAGAGAUGCUGCAGGGGGCGAGCGUUUUCUGGGGAGGAGGAGGAGGAGGAAACGUUGACCACCGAAUCCUGCAGAUGUCGGGCCACUGCCGCUGUUCCAUCACGGCCGCCUUCAGCUUGGAGCACAGGGGCACGUGGUCCAGGUAGUCCAGCAUGACGCGGACCAGCUGACCAGAGAGGUCCUUCAGCCAGCGGACGGUGAUCACCUCGCAGAACUGCACUGACGGAGGUUCAACAGGACACUUUUCAGUGUGAAUGAGCCGCACAACACGCAGGUACCUGCAGACAUUUGAUGGGGUCCUGGUUGGCCAUGGCUCCGGCCUCCAGCAGCAGUUUGGCCGACGGGACGUCGUUAUUUAAGACUGCGAAGAAGAGCGCCGACUUCCUUUCGUCGUCAUAGCUCCGCUGGACCCAGGGAUGGAGCAUGUAGUUGGGGUCAUAACCUGCGUCCAGCAAGGCCUGAUGGGAGUUGUGGAGGAGGGACUAUUAAGCUGUUGUGUGCUUAACAGACAGUAUAGAGCACUAAGUCCAACAUAAUAGAUGAAACAGUAGUUAAGUAAAUGUAAUAUCCCCCCCUCACACACACACCUUGAUGCAGUCCGGGUGUCCUCCUGCAGCAGCAGAGUGCAGAGGACUUAUUCCGCUGUCCUCAACUUCGGCCUUAGAAGUGACGGGAAUCAGCAGCUUUAGAGCUCUGAGACACACACACACACACACACACACACACACACACACACACACGAUGAGGAUGUUGUUCCUCACAGAAUGAAUGACUCGUGAAACUAGCUUUAAGUCAACAUGUACUGCAGGUGUCCCCGGUGGGCCACGCGGUGGAGCGGCAGGUGUCCCGUCUGUUUCGCCACGUUGGCGUCGGCGCCAAAAUCCAGCAGCAGACCGACGACCUCUGGAUCUCCUGAGGAAGACGCCUCGUACAAGAUGGAGGCCUCGUCCUGCGCCUGGGACAGGACGUCUGCUCCUGCAGGACGAACAAGAGGGAAAAAUGUCCAUCUGAACGUUUUUCAUGUUAACGUAAGUAAGUAGGUAACGCAGCGGAGACCCCCGGCUCUCACACCUCUCCUCAGCAGCGUCUCCACCACUUCACGGCGUCCCGCCUGAGCCGCCAGCGCCAGCGGCGUGAGGCCGUCGCGGCUC
Molecule: non-coding RNA, 3121 nt
Organism: Gasterosteus aculeatus aculeatus (three-spined stickleback)
Lineage: Eukaryota; Metazoa; Chordata; Actinopteri; Perciformes; Gasterosteidae
Source: RefSeq, a predicted model, not a curated record